RNAcentral lists this ribosomal RNA (265 nucleotides) under uncultured bacterium. RNAcentral's name for it is "partial 16S ribosomal RNA". It matches the Rfam family "Bacterial small subunit ribosomal RNA", at positions 793 to 1055 of the family's 1533-position model. The record is from RNAcentral.
GUCCACGCUGUAAACGAUGGGCACUAGGUGUCUGGGGUAUUGACCCCCUGGGUGCCGUAGCUAACGCAUUAAGUGCCCCGCCUGGGGAGUACGGCCGCAAGGUUAAAACUCAAAGGAAUUGACGGGGGCCCGCACAAGCGGUGGAGCAUGUGGUUCAAUUCGACGCAACGCGAAGAACCUUACCUGGGCUAGACAACGGUGGACAGUCUUAGAGAUAAGAUCUUCCCUUCGGGGACUGCCGGUUCAGGUGCUGCAUGGCUGUCGU